GCCCCAUCAUCAUCAUCAUCCCACCAGCGCCACCACCACCUCCACCGAGACCAACCACAUUGUUCCCCAUGCUCGGAGCGCCGCCGCCGCCGCCUCCCCCACCAUCGCCGCCGUCUUUGUGCUGAGGCUGGGAGGAGGCGGAGGCGCCGGCGCUGCACUUGUCGCCCUCCAUCUCGCGGAACCGGUGGAGGUAGACCUUGAGAGGGUCGACGUAGUCCUCGAAGCCGAGGGUGGUCAUGGCCCAGAGGAGGUCGUCGCCGUUGAUGGUCUUGCGCUUCUCGCGCUGGCACUUGUCGGCGGCCUCGCC
This 307-nucleotide long non-coding RNA is filed under the name Elaeis guineensis (African oil palm). RNAcentral describes it as "long non-coding RNA (EGUI_LNC039205)". The record is from RNAcentral. Lineage: Eukaryota; Viridiplantae; Streptophyta; Magnoliopsida; Arecales; Arecaceae.